AUACGGAGGGGGUUAGCGUUGUUCGGAAUUACUGGGCGUAAAGCGCACGUAGGCGGAUUGGAAAGUUGGGGGUGAAAUCCCAGGGCUCGACCCUGGAACUGCCUCCAAAACUAACAGUCUAGAGUUCGAGAGAGGUGAGUGGAAUUCCAAGUGUAGAGGUGAAAUUCGUAGAUAUUUGGAGGAACACCAGUGGCGAAGGCGGCUCACUGGCUCGAUACUGACGCUGAGGUGCGAAAGCGUGGGGAGCAAACAGGAUUAGAAACCCCGGUAGUCC
This 274-nucleotide ribosomal RNA is filed under the name uncultured bacterium. RNAcentral's name for it is "partial 16S ribosomal RNA". It matches the Rfam family "Bacterial small subunit ribosomal RNA", at positions 523 to 796 of the family's 1533-position model. The record is from RNAcentral.